AAAAGAAAAGAAAAGAAAAGAAAAGAAAAGAAAAGAAAAGAAAAGAAAAGAAAAGAAAAGAAAAGAAAAGAAGAAAAAAGAAAAGAAAAGAAAAGAAGAAAAAAGAAAAAGAAAAAACGUUUUCAAAAGUUGUUUUAACUGAGCUUUUUAAACUUUACUGCUCAAUGAAACAGUUUACAAGGUGAACCAGGUUCUGGUGGCACAAUGGGACCCAAGAAGCCCCCUGUUCCGCAUCCCUUCACUUGAAAAGACAGAAAACAGCGUUUGAAAGCAGAGGUUCACCUUCCACUGAAUACCAGAGUGCAAUGCAUCAAACAGUUUCUGGUGAAACCUCUGAAAGGGCAACAUUUCUUCAGCAGAAGGAUAUGACUUUCCAUCAAACCUAGAAAAAUAUUUAUGAGAUGCUUUUGUAUUUAUUUACCUAUUUUUCAGGAAACAUUUUUUUCUU
Molecule: long non-coding RNA, 448 nt
Filed under: Anser brachyrhynchus (Pink-footed goose)
Lineage: Eukaryota; Metazoa; Chordata; Aves; Anseriformes; Anatidae
Description: lncRNA (ENSABRG00000009244.1)
Source: RNAcentral